GCGCUGGUUUAGCUCAGUGGUUACUUCGAACAAACUCGUCCUGCUCUCCAUCCCUCCCCGGGAUCGAACCACGGGCGCUGUCCAGUGCUUUU
RNAcentral lists this vault RNA (92 nucleotides) under Larimichthys crocea (large yellow croaker). Its description in RNAcentral is "Vault RNA (ENSLCRG00005022535.1)". It matches the Rfam family "Vault RNA". From Rfam's summary of the family: This family of RNAs are found as part of the enigmatic vault ribonucleoprotein complex. The complex consists of a major vault protein (MVP), two minor vault proteins (VPARP and TEP1), and several small untranslated RNA molecules. The record is from Rfam by way of RNAcentral. Lineage: Eukaryota; Metazoa; Chordata; Actinopteri; Sciaenidae.